AGUGAACGCUGGCGGUAGGCCUAACACAUGCAAGUCGAACGGCAGCACAGGAGAGCUUGCUCUCUGGGUGGCGAGUGGCGGACGGGUGAGGAAUACAUCGGAAUCUACUCUGUCGUGGGGGAUAACGUAGGGAAACUUACGCUAAUACCGCAUACGACCUACGGGUGAAAGCAGGGGAUCUUCGGACCUUGCGCGAUUGAAUGAGCCGAUGUCGGAUUAGCUAGUUGGCGGGGUAAAGGCCCACCGAGGCGACGAUCCGUAGCUGGUCUGAGAAGAUGAUCAGCCACACUGGAACUGAGACACGGUCCAGACUCCUAUGGGAGGGAGGAGUGGGGAAUAUUGGACAAUGGACGCAAGCCUGAUCCAGCCAUACCGCGUGGGUGAAGAAGGCCUUCGGGUUGUAAAGCCCUUUUGUUGGGAAAGAAAUCCAGCUGGCUAAUACCCGGUUGGGAUGACGGUACCCAAAGAAUAAGCACCGGCUAACUUCGUGCCAGCAGCCGCAGUAA
Molecule: ribosomal RNA, 506 nt
Filed under: uncultured bacterium
Lineage: Bacteria
Description: partial 16S ribosomal RNA
Rfam family: Bacterial small subunit ribosomal RNA
Source: RNAcentral